UCCCACCGCAAGGGUAAGACCCCAGAAAGACUAUCUGGUUGAUAGGUCGAAGGUGUAAGUGCAGCAAUGUAUUUAGCUUAUCGAUACUAAUAGGUCGAGGACUUGACCAAUAUUUAUU
This 118-nucleotide ribosomal RNA is filed under the name Clostridioides difficile. RNAcentral describes it as "partial 23S ribosomal RNA". It matches the Rfam family "Bacterial large subunit ribosomal RNA", at positions 2812 to 2925 of the family's 2925-position model. The record is from RNAcentral. Lineage: Bacteria; Bacillati; Bacillota; Clostridia; Peptostreptococcales; Peptostreptococcaceae.